CAGCAGCCACGGGAAUACAGAGGGUGCGAGCGUUAAUCGGAUUUACUGGGCGUAAAGCGUGCGUAGGCGGCUUUUUAAGUCGGAUGUGAAAUCCCUGAGCUUAACUUAGGAAUUGCAUUCGAUACUGGGAAGCUAGAGUAUGGGAGAGGAUGGUAGAAUUCCAGGUGUAGCGGUGAAAUGCGUAGAGAUCUGGAGGAAUACCGAUGGCGAAGGCAGCCAUCUGGCCUAAUACUGACGCUGAGGUACGAAAGCAUGGGGAGCAAACAGGAUUAGAUACCCCAGUAGUCCCUGUCUCUUAUCC
Molecule: ribosomal RNA, 301 nt
Filed under: uncultured bacterium
Lineage: Bacteria
Description: partial 16S ribosomal RNA
Rfam family: Bacterial small subunit ribosomal RNA
Source: RNAcentral